GGGUCGUGAAAGGGUUUGGUCAAAAGCUAGACUCUUUCGUUGCCCUUACUGUCUGGCGUAACAGUCAGACCUUUUACUGUGAAGAAAUUAGAGUGUUUAAAGCAAGCAUACGCUUGAAUACAUUAGCAUGGAAUAAUGAAAUAGGACGUUUGAUUCUAUUUUGUUGGUUUCUAGGAUCGACGUAAUGAUUAAUAGGGAUAGUUG
Molecule: ribosomal RNA, 204 nt
Filed under: uncultured Glomus
Lineage: Eukaryota; Fungi; Glomeromycota; Glomeromycetes; Glomerales; Glomeraceae
Description: partial 18S ribosomal RNA
Rfam family: Eukaryotic small subunit ribosomal RNA (bases 62-204)
Source: RNAcentral